ACGGAUGUCACAACAGCACCCCGUUUGGAUCCAUGCAUGGUUGCGGGUGAGUGUGGAGGGGAGCAGAAAGUUGAGCGAAUUGUUUAUCUGCGCAAAGAAGAAGAUAAAGUUGCACUGUAGAUAGGGAGUGCCAAGUCAUCCGAAGCAAGUUACAAAGUUACCCUUACUUUUGCUGGAAUCAAGAAACAGUGUUGUGCAUGCAUGCCACAUGAAGCCAUGAGAUUCCUGACUUGGCUCAGGAAUCGUUUGACUCUGUGUGAAUCUGUGAAAGGAGAGUGAAUGGAGAGUGAAUGCAGUGGUGGGUGAGUGGGUGAGGUAGGUGGGCGUGGCUAUAUAACAGCAUGAAGUUCAUUCCUCCAUUCACAGAAAACGAAAGCAACCGAGCCAUCUGAGAGUGCAUUGUAGUGUGGUUGGAGAGAUUCCUAUAAGCCAUCUUCGUUUCUGUUAGUAUACCUUGUUCAUCUCACGUCCUGGGGUUGUUCUUGUGAUUCAUCUGCGUUAAUUUGGGUUGAUAUGGGUUCGUCUGAGGUGAGAGCUAAAGUCUGGAAUGGUGCAUAAUCGAUUAUGCCUCAAUUAUAACAAGUCAGAUAAUCGAUUAUGGGGCAGAUAAUCGAUUUUUCAACGAACAUAAUCGAUUAUCUGUAAAAGUUUACAGGCAUAAUCGAUUAUCUGGUGUGUUGAAAAUGGGCCAUAAUCGAUUAUUGUGUUCCAUAAUCGAUUAUGGUGUAUUUUUGCCUACACACAUAAUCGAUUAUCUGUAAAAGUUUACAGGAUCGAUUAUCUGGUGUGUUGAAAAUGGGCCAUAAUUGAUUAUUGUGUGUCAUAAUCGAUUAUGGUGUAUUUUUGCCUACACACAUAAUCGAUUAUCACUGGAUAAUCGAUCAUCCUCUGUGCAUAACUGAGAGCAUAAUCGAUUAUGUUCUAUAUUUUUUUGGAAUUCUAUGUUUCUGAAUUUUUUUUAUGUGAUUUUCAGGCAGUGUUCUUCAUCCUAAGUCAUCCUAUUGUGCUGCUUGUGCUGCUGUUGUUGCUUAUCUUCAGGUUUUUAAUUUUUUUUAUGUAAAGUUAUUUUUUAUUUAUUUCUGUUUUAUAUUUAUGAUUGGAUGAUUAUGGUUUUGUAAUAUAAUUUGUUUAGAAUUUAUUUUAGUUAAUUAUGUUAAGGAGUUACUAAAUUAUUGUUGGUUGGUUGUAAUAUAAUUUGUUUAGACUUUAGUUUAGUUAAUUAUUUUAAGGAGUUAGUAAAUUAUUGUUAUUAUUUG
This 1256-nucleotide long non-coding RNA is filed under the name Phaseolus vulgaris (common bean). RNAcentral describes it as "long non-coding RNA (PVUL_LNC005175)". The record is from RNAcentral. Lineage: Eukaryota; Viridiplantae; Streptophyta; Magnoliopsida; Fabales; Fabaceae.